UGGGGUGCAGUUCAGUGGUAGAGCACUUGCCUAGCAUGUAUGAAGUCUUGGGUUCAAUCCCUAACACAUUAA
This 72-nucleotide transfer RNA is filed under the name Mesocricetus auratus (golden hamster). It matches the Rfam family "tRNA". Rfam says of the family: Transfer RNA (tRNA) molecules are approximately 80 nucleotides in length. Their secondary structure includes four short double-helical elements and three loops (D, anti-codon, and T loops). Further hydrogen bonds mediate the characteristic L-shaped molecular structure. tRNAs have two regions of fundamental functional importance: the anti-codon, which is responsible for specific mRNA codon recognition, and the 3' end, to which the tRNAs corresponding amino acid is attached (by aminoacyl-tRNA synthetases). tRNAs cope with the degeneracy of the genetic code in two manners: having more than one tRNA (with a specific anti-codon) for a particular amino acid; and 'wobble' base-pairing, i.e. permitting non-standard base-pairing at the 3rd anti-codon position. The record is from Rfam by way of RNAcentral. Lineage: Eukaryota; Metazoa; Chordata; Mammalia; Rodentia; Cricetidae.